GCAGCUUGCUGCUUUGCUGACCAGUGGCGGACGGGUGAGUAAUGUCUGGGAAACUGCCCGAUGGAGGGGGAUAACUACUGGAAACGGUAGCUAAUACCGCAUAAUGUCGCAAGACCAAAGAGGGGGACCUUCGGGCCUCUUGCCAUCGGAUGUGCCCAGAUGGGAUUAGCUUGUUGGUGAGGUAACGGCUCACCAAGGCGACGAUCCCUAGCUGGUCUGAGAGGAUGACCAGCCACACUGGAACUGAGACACGGUCCAGACUCCUACGGGAGGCAGCAGUGGGGAAUAUUGCACAAUGGGCGCAAGCCUGAUGCAGCCAUGCCGCGUGUAUGAAGAAGGCCUUCGGGUUGUAAAGUACUUUCAGCGGGGAGGAAGGGGUUAAGGUUAAUAACCUUAGCCAUUGACGUUACCCGCAGAAGAAGCACCGGCUAACUCCGUGCCAGCAGCCGCGGUAAUACGGAGGGUGCAAGCGUUAAUCGGAAUUACUGGGCGUAAAGCGCACGCAGGCGGUCUG
Molecule: ribosomal RNA, 514 nt
Filed under: Citrobacter sp. PS2
Lineage: Bacteria; Pseudomonadati; Pseudomonadota; Gammaproteobacteria; Enterobacterales; Enterobacteriaceae
Description: bacterial SSU rRNA
Rfam family: Bacterial small subunit ribosomal RNA
Source: RNAcentral